AUAUAUAUAUAUAUAUUAAUCAUUUAUCGAUUAUGAAGAGCAAGUGUAGUAUACUGUAUGGCAAAAGCUAAAUUAAUUGUCUUUACUUUUAUUCCAAUUUUACGUUUUUGUCCCUCAAAUUAGUGAACAGUUGCUUUCAGACCCCUUCUCUUUUCUCUCUCUCCACCUCACGGCACUUGCGGCCAACGCGGACAGGAGGGUUUUGUCCUCCCGCGCUGUCUGAUGCUUCUUUCUCCAACAGAAACCAAAGCCCGUAGAGAGAGAGAAUGUGAGGCUUCCGAAUGUAUUCCUAAGGCUCGACGGGAACCACCUCUCCACGGUCAACGGCUGCCAGCUCGACAGAAACUCUGUUGGCCGAAUUUCGUGUUGGCAUUUUUUGACGUCUCGUGUUUCGAACUUGAUCGUGUUUUGGGUUGUUGUUAUCAGUGAUCAUUGGGUUAGAUUUUCGCGGGUUCUGCUGGACCUAUGUUUCGUGCAAUUGGGUCCGUCUAGAUGGUUUGCAUGGUUAUCUGUUCGGUUUGAUCUGUCGUUUGUUUCAUUUUACUGGCCCUCAUUCUCAUCAGCUACUUUGGCUGUCUGCUGCGGGUCUCUUUCUUUGAACCUCACUCAUAAAAAAAUUGAUAGAUUUUUUCCCAAGAAAUAUUAUUUGUUUUCUCCCAAUUAUUGAAAGAAGGAUUGAUUUUGUUUUUGUUUGUAAUUAUUGAUGUAAUUUGCUAUCUGUUGGCGCAGAUUUUAUAUGAUCAACAUGUAGAUACAAAUGUUAAAAGCUAGGUAUUUUUGUUUUUUUUUUUUUUUUUUUUUUUUUCCUUUGUGAUGGUUCCAUUAAUGCAAAUUUUAGGUAGAUGUUUUGAUAAGAUUAUUUGCUUGUAAAUUGUAAAGGUUGUUUUGAAUUUAGAGGAUUUAUGUGAGGUGUGAAUUUAAAA
Carya illinoinensis is the source of this 923-nucleotide long non-coding RNA. RefSeq lists it as uncharacterized. The transcript has 2 exons. The record is from RefSeq and is a predicted model, not a curated record. NCBI's taxonomy places the organism in Eukaryota, Viridiplantae, Streptophyta, Magnoliopsida, Fagales, Juglandaceae.